GCAGCAGCAGCCAAAGCUAAUUCAGGGCACAGUGAACAAGGACAGGGAGAAACCAGCAGCCCCAAGGCACCUGAUCCACAGGGCAGAGUUCUCUCGUAACGUUACUUCCUGGUUAUUGAUGCUGCAAGGCCUCCGGCUUCUGGGUCAGCAGUAUUGAAUUGCUUCCCUGGGACAUACUCCUCUGGAGCUGCCCCUGCCCGGACUGGGAGGAUUGCUCUGGAGCAGUAAAUUGGGGACAAUCGACAUCAUCGCUGAACACGCAGCAAAGAGAAGUGCAUGAAGGUGCCUCUAGACGGUCGGCAUGUUGCCGGAGGGAUUCAAGGACAUACCGGAAUGUUAGUCUCCUCUGCCUCCUUCCCAGCCAAAGUCUUGCUUUGCUUCCAAAGCUAUCUGACCGGAGAUCUGUCUGAUGCCUAACAGAGCUCAGUUGCAGUAUUUCACUCUUCACCGCUUGGCUUUUUGAAGUAGGAACUAAUAGGAACUCCUUUCAACUCUGAUUGGCUCCAAUCAGCAGGAAACAACAAGGAAGCAAGUUAGAAGACUCUUCUCAGUGGCUAACACGCUCCCCUUCCAUCUGAUUGGCUCAUAGGACACUGGAGAGACAUAGGCCCCCUGCUGGGACUCCCAAAAAAAUUUUCCACAUGGGCAGACGUUUAGCAGUGUAUAAAGGGUUGCAUGCCUGGCUAUAUGGAAAGCAAACCACUGCCCCAACAACCUCAUUCUGCCCUCAGCCAGCCCCAACCUGCCUGCCUCCCUACAACCAGUGCGGAGGGUAGCCCUGUUAACUUCCCCCUCCUCUGUCUCAGGUAGAAUGAGUCGGUUCUGCCUGCCAUUGGCUCUUGCUCCACCUGCUGUUUGGGUUCCCUGCCUUCCAUCCCACAGUCCCAACCGGCAUCAGCCACCACCACGUUUGGAAGAAGAGCCCCGUUUUUGUGGAAGAAAUCUCAUUUGCAUGAUGAGCAAUGUGCAACAACUAAGGCUUACCUAAUUGCCCCCUCGGAAAUUAUCCUCUGCAUUUGUCACGUGAAACAAGCCUCGUGCUUGUAUUGAUUUUGCAACAGAAAGCACUGAGAGUCUGCAUCCAGAGGGUAAGAAGGUUUUAUAUUUUCCAGAGUCUGCACAACUUGAGUUUCCAAUUGUUUCUCCAACAGAACUCCCUGUUUUCUAACACCUCUCACUGUUCUUAGUUUGGCUGCCAAGAAAGCUUUUUUUUUUUUUUUAUGUGUUAGUGUGCAGAGAUCUGAAUGAAAACUGCCACCCAGCCCCCUUCUCUCCAGGAAGUCUUUAGAAACUGAGUGGAGAGGAGAAAACAUCAUGAUUCCAGCAACACAUCUGCCUCUCAAUGCAUGUAUAUGAACAUUAAGGCGUUAUGUGGUGCACAGCCUGCCCUUCACCUUUGCGGUUGGUGGCAUUCAUUGUUGAACAUAUACAACACACUUUUUUUUUCUAGGAUCUGCUUAGCAGAAAUUACAUGCCCUCCGUUUACCUUUAAAUUAUGUGACCAGAGUCAAGAGAUAGCUAAAUCACUCCCUUACAAUGGCUCUGACUACAUGCCAGCACUUCUCUUUCAUCUCCUUAAAAGCUUGCAAACCAUUUUUCUUAAAAAAAAAAAAU
Molecule: long non-coding RNA, 1614 nt
Organism: Rhineura floridana
Lineage: Eukaryota; Metazoa; Chordata; Lepidosauria; Squamata; Rhineuridae
Exons: 4
Source: RefSeq, a predicted model, not a curated record